This 371-nucleotide long non-coding RNA is filed under the name Carica papaya (papaya). RNAcentral describes it as "long non-coding RNA (CPAP_LNC007823)". Lineage: Eukaryota; Viridiplantae; Streptophyta; Magnoliopsida; Brassicales; Caricaceae. The record is from RNAcentral.
CGCACACAUAAGUAUCUAGUUUGAGUAACGGUAUAGAUUGUAAAGAAAUCUGAAAGAUGGACAGAGAUAACGAAGAAAAAGAGAGAAAGAGAAGGAAAUAAGAUGGAGCAAAGAUUACAAACCAGUAACUCAAUACAUUCAAAUCUUUACGCAAUUUGGCUUAAUAUAUGUAUAUAUACAUAUAGCAAUAUGAACAUGACCGGAAGACAGUUGACUCUUUUUCCUUUCAAAUGGACCGUUUACGUAAUUUUUCUUGCAAUUGGAAAGUCAAUAAAGUUAUAAGUUGAGUCAUGAGGUGUAUUCCUUAUAUGAGUAGUAGUAAUCUUUGUUUAUUUUUUAAUAAGUUCUUAAUCCAUUAUAAUUAAGAAAAU